This 140-nucleotide ribosomal RNA is filed under the name uncultured bacterium. RNAcentral's name for it is "partial 16S ribosomal RNA". It matches the Rfam family "Bacterial small subunit ribosomal RNA", at positions 355 to 509 of the family's 1533-position model. The record is from RNAcentral.
UGGGGAAUAUUGCACAAUGGGGGGGAACCCGUGAUGCAGCGACGCCGCGUGGGUGAAGGAGCGUUUCGGCGCGUAAAGCCCUAUCGGCAGGGAAGAAGGAGGACGGUACCUGACUAAGAAGCCCCGGCUAACUACGUGCC